Molecule: unclassified non-coding RNA, 117 nt
Organism: Papio anubis (olive baboon)
Lineage: Eukaryota; Metazoa; Chordata; Mammalia; Primates; Cercopithecidae
Rfam family: Metazoan signal recognition particle RNA
About the family: The signal recognition particle (SRP) is a universally conserved ribonucleoprotein. It is involved in the co-translational targeting of proteins to membranes. The eukaryotic SRP consists of a 300-nucleotide 7S RNA and six proteins: SRPs 72, 68, 54, 19, 14, and 9.
Source: Ensembl
GCCGGGUGCGGUGGCUCACGCCUGUAAUCCUAGUACUUUGGGAGGCUGAGGCGGGUGAAUCACCUGAGGUCAGGAGUUUGAGACCAGCCUGACCAACAUGGUGAAACCCCGUUUCUA